Molecule: long non-coding RNA, 1854 nt
Organism: Peromyscus eremicus (cactus mouse)
Lineage: Eukaryota; Metazoa; Chordata; Mammalia; Rodentia; Cricetidae
Exons: 3
Source: RefSeq, a predicted model, not a curated record
GUUCAGUUUCCUGGAAGUGGAGCUGUGGAACCCAUUUGAGGCCAUCGUCAUCUCGGCCUACCUUCUCUGUAUUGAUCUUGUGCUCACAUAUCAUACGCAGCCUGCCCCUUGGAGAAGAUGAAGACCCAGGAAUAGACAUGGCUGUAGUCCCCAUGGGGCCUAACUCUGACCUAGGAACACAGUGCCUCAGUCUUUUCCAGGAACCAUGUCCAGCAAUAGGCAGAGAUCUCAGCCAUACCCUGGAUGUGGAGAGAGAGAAUCUCACCUGGACCCAAACUGGUUGAGGCCAGAUAGGCCUGGAAUCCAGGCAGCUCUUCACCCAUUAGAAGAUCUUCCACCCAUUGAUUUUCCAACAACAAGGUCAUUAAGAUCUCAUGGUGUCCUCAACUAUGGCUCCCUGACGCUGAGGAUUCUGCAUCAUGGUUACACUGGCCACAAUACAGGACAUCAGAGGGCUGUUGACUAGCCUUUGGCUCUUCAGACUGGGAAAAGCCUGGGAAGGUGCAUGCCAUCUAGAAUAAAGUAAGUCAUAGGCAUUCUUCCAGUGGCUUUCCAGUGCUACCUGCUUCUCCUGUAUGUGAAUUGCUUCUCUUCUGCCCUGCCCACCCCUGAGUUCUAGCUGGUCACUUACACAUCAGGAGCAUGUAGCUGGCCCUUCUUAGAACACCUUAGUCAGCCCACCACUCACCCAGACAAGCCCUUGUGGGAAUCUGUCCCCACAGAACUACUCUUGACACUAGCUCUCUCAGCGUACCCAGGAGGAACACUGGAGGAAAGGGUAGUGUGGGAACCAACUCAGAGAAGUACCCUGAGAUUGUAAAUGCCAAUCAUCAGCUUCGUCGGCUUGUGAAGCACCUAAGAGAUCAAUGAAGCGCACUCUGUGUGUGUCUGAGGGUGUUUCCAGAGAGACUUAACUACAGGGUGGGUGGGAAAACCCACUCUGAAUAUGGAGGACACCUCCCUGGAGGCUAGAGGACUGGAUGGAAUAAAAGGGAGAGAAGGCGAACGCCAGCAUUUUUUCUCACCAAUUCCUGGAUGCCAUUAUGCGAGCUGCAUGCUUCCACACCCUCCCUGCAAAGGUCGUCUGAAACUGUGAAGCAAAAUGAUCUUCCCUCUCUUAAGAUGUUCUGCUCAGGUGGUAUUGUCAGGGUCAAAAGACUAAGACAUCCAGCUUUCCAACUGCCUCCUUAUUGCUUACAUGCCACUGGUGCCUUUCACUUCAGAUUACAUUUCUUUUGCUUUCCCCUUGGCACCCAACCUUGGCUCUUUCCUUGUUUCCAUGCCCGCUCUACCCAGGGAUGGCUCAGCAAGAUGCAUUCCGGUUCAACUGAAUCUUCUCUCUGGAAGUCACAUUCUGAUCCCUGUAAUGUGCCACUGGUAGGGGUGACUCUGGUCUGCAGAGUUAGCUCUCCAAGUACCUUUACUUUCCUUAGAGUCACCCUGUUCUGCUCCCAGGCUUCCCAGGACACCUGAGGCCUUUGCUGGAAAAGCAGCAUGCGUGCUUUGAAAGGACGAAGUUUUGCUUGUACAGGGAGGGAGCCGCUUGCCCACGACUGUGGGUCUUCCUUUAUCCCACCAGGAGCAGAGCUAAAGUCUUCUUUAGCCCACCUACUUUCUACCUAUCUCAGCAGCUUCUUCCAGGUGACUCCACGGAGCGGAGGCCUGUGGGCACUAAGAUCUGCUUGCCGAAGCACGUCUUCCGUAUACCCCAGUCCUGGACAUGUCAAGGGGCCAUGGCAGUCACCACACACAAUCUCACUGGCUCCUUGGCUUUUCUCUGACACCUCUGCUAGAAGUGGGUAUGUUGAUUGCUCUGUUAGAUGACAUGAUGUAGGGGAAGGUCCUGUGAUGUCA